UGAGCAAUCUGCCCUUCUCAUCGGAAUAAGCGUUGGAAACGACGUCUAAUGCCGAAUACGACCUCCUUUCGCAUGAUCGGAGGGGGAAAGCUCCGGCGGAGAAGGAUGAGCUCGCGGCCUAUCAGCUAGUUGGUGUGGGUAAUGGCCCACCAAGGCGACGACGGGUAGCCGGCCUGAGAGGGUGACCGGCCACACUGGGACUGAGACACGGCCCAGACCUCCGUACGGGAGGNAGCG
RNAcentral lists this ribosomal RNA (237 nucleotides) under uncultured bacterium. RNAcentral's name for it is "partial 16S ribosomal RNA". It matches the Rfam family "Bacterial small subunit ribosomal RNA", at positions 118 to 353 of the family's 1533-position model. The record is from RNAcentral.